AUUAUUGAAGUAAGAGAUGGUGCUACAGUUGAUUCUCCCUUGCUAGCCACAUUUACAUCAGAUGGUGGACCAUAUUAUGUUACCUCAACAGGUGACUCUCUACAUGUUUUCUUUAAGACUGGUCAAAAUGUUAAUAAACAGCAUACUGGCUUCCAGUUUCAAUACAGACAAGGCUGUAAUUAUGAAUACAAUAGUAAUAGUGAAAUGCUCUCAUCACCGGGUUAUGGUAUUGUUAACUAUCCAAAUUAUCAAACAUGUACCUGGAUAAUCAGGCCUAAUCCUCCAAGAGAAGUAACUCUGAUGUUCGAUCCCCAGUUUAACUUAAAUGCAGAUGAUUUUCUUGAGGUAUAUAAUUCUAUAGAUGACAGUGGAACAGCUCUUCAUGGUAGUGGUUCAGGAUUCUCUGGCAGCACAGCACCUAGCCCUAUCUCUGUAAACAAUGGAUUGUUAUUCCUGCGAUUAAAAACCAAUUCCAUCAUUAAUCAAAAGGGAUUUAUGGCUAGAUUCUCUGUUGGUUGUCCUGCUAUCAUUUUUAAUUCUAAUUUCAUGCAAUCAUCAUCUGAUCAAUCAUUUGGUUCUGCAUUUGAUAUAUCAUGUAAACCUGGUUACCGUUUUGAUUCUCUAGAAUUAUAUAAUAGAACUACUGUUCAAAUAAAAUGUUUAUUUGGUGGACAGUGGAAUGUCCGUGCUAUACCAAGUUGUGUAGCUAAUUAUUGUGGUUUUCCACCAACUGUUAGUAGUGCCCGUAUUAUAUCAGGAAAUGGUGUAGGGUAUGGUAGUACUGUAGUUUAUUCAUGUAAUGAUGGUUAUAUACCAGACACCCAAAUAACAGCUACAUGUAAUAUAAACGGACAAUGGACAAACUUACCAACAUGCCAGGCCUCAACGUGUACAGCAUUACCUAGUGCUACUGAACCAGUAAUUAAACUAAAAACCGAGAAUGGAGAUGGUACAACAUUUGGUUCUAUAGUAACAUAUAGUUGUAAUAAUGGCUAUGAAUUACA
Long non-coding RNA from Patella vulgata (common limpet), 1004 nucleotides. RefSeq lists it as uncharacterized. The transcript is spliced from 6 exons. Lineage: Eukaryota; Metazoa; Mollusca; Gastropoda; Patellidae. The record is from RefSeq and is a predicted model, not a curated record.